UAUAGCUCAGUGGUAGAGCUCAUGCUUAGCAUGCAUGAGGUCCUGGGUUCAAUCCCCAGUA
This is a transfer RNA of Camelus ferus (Wild Bactrian camel), 61 nucleotides long. It matches the Rfam family "tRNA", at positions 6 to 65 of the family's 71-position model. Rfam says of the family: Transfer RNA (tRNA) molecules are approximately 80 nucleotides in length. Their secondary structure includes four short double-helical elements and three loops (D, anti-codon, and T loops). Further hydrogen bonds mediate the characteristic L-shaped molecular structure. tRNAs have two regions of fundamental functional importance: the anti-codon, which is responsible for specific mRNA codon recognition, and the 3' end, to which the tRNAs corresponding amino acid is attached (by aminoacyl-tRNA synthetases). tRNAs cope with the degeneracy of the genetic code in two manners: having more than one tRNA (with a specific anti-codon) for a particular amino acid; and 'wobble' base-pairing, i.e. permitting non-standard base-pairing at the 3rd anti-codon position. Lineage: Eukaryota; Metazoa; Chordata; Mammalia; Artiodactyla; Camelidae. The record is from Rfam.